AGAGUUUGAUCAUGGCUCAGGAUGAACGCUAGCUACAGGCUUAACACAUGCAAGUCGAGGGGAAACGAUAUUGGAAGCUUGCUUCCGAUAGGCGUCGACCGGCGCACGGGUGAGUAACGCGUAUCCAACCUGCCCACCACUUGGGGAUAACCUUGCGAAAGUAAGACUAAUACCCAAUGACGUCUCUAGAAGACAUCUGAAAGAGAUUAAAGAUUUAUCGGUGAUGGAUGGGGAUGCGUCUGAUUAGCUUGUUGGCGGGGUAACGGCCCACAAGGCUACGAUCAGUAGGGGUUCUGAGAGGAACGGUCCCCCANAUUGGAACUGAGACACGGUCCAAACUCCUACGGGAGCA
This 352-nucleotide ribosomal RNA is filed under the name uncultured bacterium. RNAcentral describes it as "bacterial SSU rRNA". It matches the Rfam family "Bacterial small subunit ribosomal RNA", at positions 8 to 349 of the family's 1533-position model. The record is from RNAcentral.